ACACCGUUGGUGAAGUGCUUAUCAUGCUUGCCUUCCAUUGCACGACUGAUCGAUUUAGAAAGCAAGCGGCUCGGGCUCGAUUCCCGAACGGUGUA
This 95-nucleotide transfer RNA is filed under the name Marasmius sp. AFHP31. RNAcentral's name for it is "tRNA-Gly". It matches the Rfam family "tRNA". From Rfam's summary of the family: Transfer RNA (tRNA) molecules are approximately 80 nucleotides in length. Their secondary structure includes four short double-helical elements and three loops (D, anti-codon, and T loops). Further hydrogen bonds mediate the characteristic L-shaped molecular structure. tRNAs have two regions of fundamental functional importance: the anti-codon, which is responsible for specific mRNA codon recognition, and the 3' end, to which the tRNAs corresponding amino acid is attached (by aminoacyl-tRNA synthetases). tRNAs cope with the degeneracy of the genetic code in two manners: having more than one tRNA (with a specific anti-codon) for a particular amino acid; and 'wobble' base-pairing, i.e. permitting non-standard base-pairing at the 3rd anti-codon position. Lineage: Eukaryota; Fungi; Basidiomycota; Agaricomycetes; Agaricales; Marasmiaceae. The record is from RNAcentral.